GUACGUAUAAUUUAUCUGGUAAAAUAAGUGAUUUCCAAUCAUUAAUGGCGGGUUCGAGUCUCGUUAUGUACA
This 72-nucleotide transfer RNA is filed under the name Iotrochota birotulata (green finger sponge). RNAcentral's name for it is "tRNA-Gly". It matches the Rfam family "tRNA". Rfam says of the family: Transfer RNA (tRNA) molecules are approximately 80 nucleotides in length. Their secondary structure includes four short double-helical elements and three loops (D, anti-codon, and T loops). Further hydrogen bonds mediate the characteristic L-shaped molecular structure. tRNAs have two regions of fundamental functional importance: the anti-codon, which is responsible for specific mRNA codon recognition, and the 3' end, to which the tRNAs corresponding amino acid is attached (by aminoacyl-tRNA synthetases). tRNAs cope with the degeneracy of the genetic code in two manners: having more than one tRNA (with a specific anti-codon) for a particular amino acid; and 'wobble' base-pairing, i.e. permitting non-standard base-pairing at the 3rd anti-codon position. The record is from RNAcentral. Lineage: Eukaryota; Metazoa; Porifera; Demospongiae; Poecilosclerida; Iotrochotidae.